UACGGGGGAGCAAGCGUUGUUCGGAAUUACUGGGCGUAAAGCGCGUGUAGGCGGCCCUGCAAGUCGGGUGUGAAAUCCCACGGCUCAACCGUGGAAGUGCACUCGAAACUGCAGGGCUAGAGUCCUGGAGAGGAAGGUGGAAUGCUUGGUGUAGAGGUGAGAUUCGUAGAUAUCAAGCGGAACACCGGUGGCGAAGGCGGCCUUCUGGACAGUGACUGACGCUGAGACGCGAAAGCGUGGGGAGCAAACAGG
This 252-nucleotide ribosomal RNA is filed under the name uncultured bacterium. Its description in RNAcentral is "partial 16S ribosomal RNA". It matches the Rfam family "Bacterial small subunit ribosomal RNA", at positions 524 to 776 of the family's 1533-position model. The record is from RNAcentral.